RNAcentral lists this ribosomal RNA (885 nucleotides) under Involutiscutellula rubra. Its description in RNAcentral is "eukaryotic LSU rRNA". It matches the Rfam family "Eukaryotic large subunit ribosomal RNA", at positions 35 to 949 of the family's 3401-position model. The record is from RNAcentral. Lineage: Eukaryota; Fungi; Ascomycota; Sordariomycetes; Diaporthales; Tubakiaceae.
UUAGCAUAUCAAUAAGCGGAGGAAAAGAAACCAACAGGGAUUGCCCUAGUAACGGCGAGUGAAGCGGCAACAGCUCAAAUUUGAAAUCUGGCUUCGGCCCGAGUUGUAAUUUGCAGAGGAUGCUUUUGGUGCGGUGCCUUCCGAGUUCCCUGGAACGGGACGCCACAGAGGGUGAGAGCCCCGUAUGGUCGGACGCCAAUCCUGUGUAAAGCUCCUUCGACGAGUCGAGUAGUUUGGGAAUGCUGCUCUAAAUGGGAGGUAAAUCUCUUCUAAAGCUAAAUACCGGCCAGAGACCGAUAGCGCACAAGUAGAGUGAUCGAAAGAUGAAAAGCACCUUGAAAAGGGGGUUAAACAGUACGUGAAAUUGUUGAAAGGGAAGCACUUGUGACCAGACUUGGGCCGGGCGGCUCAUCAGGGGUUCUCCCCUGUGCACUCCGCCCGGUACAGGCCAGCAUCGGUUCUUGCCGGGGGAUAAGAACGGAAGGAACGUGGCCCCCCUUCGGGGGGGUGUUAUAGCCUGCCGUACGAUACCCUGGCGGGGACCGAGGUUCGCGCUUCCGCAAGGAUGCUGGCGUAAUGGUUACUAGUGACCCGUCUUGAAACACGGACCAAGGAGUCGUCCAUUAGAGCGAGCGUUUGGGUGUCAAACCCGCACGCGUAAUGAAAGUGAAAUUAGGUGAGAGCUUCGGCGCAUCAUCGACCGAUCCUGAUGUUCUCGGAAGGAUUUGAGUAAGAGUUUUAACGGACGGACCCGAAAGACAGUGAACUAUGCUUGUAUAGGGUGAAGCCAGAGGAAACUCUGGUGGAGGCUCGCAGCGGUUCUGACGUGCAAAUCGAUCGUCAAAUAUGAGCAUGGGGGCGAAAGACUAAUCGAACUGUCUAGUA